AGACCCGAAACCCGGUGAUCUAGCCAUGGGCAGGUUGAAGGUUGGGUAACACUAACUGGAGGACCGAACCGACUAAUGUUGAAAAAUUAGCGGAUGACCUGUGGCUGGGGGUGAAAGGCCAAUCAAACCGGGAGAUAGCUGGUUCUCCCCGAAAGCUAUUUAGGUAGCGCCUCGUGAACUCAUCUCCGGGGGUAGAGCACUGUUUCGGCUAGGGGGCCAUCCCGGCUUACCAACCCGAUGCAAACUGCGAAUACCGGAGAAUGUUAUCACGGGAGACACACGGCGGGUGCUAACGUCCGUCGUGAAGAGGGAAACAACCCAGACCGCCAGCUAAGGUCCCAAAGUCAUGGUUAAGUGGGAAACGAUGUGGGAAGGCCCAGACAGCCAGGAUGUUGGCUUAGAAGCAGCCAUCAUUUAAAGAAAGCGUAAUAGCUCACUGGUCGAGUCGGCCUGCGCGGAAGAUGUAACGGGGCUAAACCAUGCACCGAAGCUGCGGCAGCGACGCUUAUGCGUUGUUGGGUAGGGGAGCGUUCUGUAAGCCGUUGAAGGUGGCCUGUGAGGGUUGCUGGAGGUAUCAGAAGUGCGAAUGCUGACAUAAGUAACGAUAAAGCGGGUGAAAAGCCCGCUCGCCGGAAGACCAAGGGUUCCUGUCCAACGUUAAUCGGGGCAGGGUGAGUCGACCCCUAAGGCGAGGCCGAAAGGCGUAGUCGAUGGGAAACGGGUUAAUAUUCCCGUACUUGGUGUUACUGCGAAGGGGGGACGGAGAAGGCUAUGUUGGCCGGGCGACGGUU
RNAcentral lists this ribosomal RNA (791 nucleotides) under Salmonella enterica subsp. salamae. RNAcentral's name for it is "partial 23S ribosomal RNA". It matches the Rfam family "Bacterial large subunit ribosomal RNA", at positions 711 to 1503 of the family's 2925-position model. Lineage: Bacteria; Pseudomonadati; Pseudomonadota; Gammaproteobacteria; Enterobacterales; Enterobacteriaceae. The record is from RNAcentral.